CCUACGGGGGCAGCAGUGGGGAAUAUUGGACAAUGGGCGAAAGCCUGAUCCAGCAAUGCCGCGUGAGUGAUGAAGGCCUUCGGGUCGUAAAGCUCUUUUACCAGGGAUGAUAAUGACAGUACCUGGAGAAUAAGCUCCGGCUAACUCCGUGCCAGCAGCCGCGGUAAUACGGAGGGAGCUAGCGUUGUUCGGAAUUACUGGGCGUAAAGAGUACGUAGGCGGUUAUUCAAGUCAGAGGUGAAAGCCCGGGGCUCAACCCCGGAACUGCCUUUGAAACUAGAUAACUAGAGUCUUGGAGAGGUUAGUGGAAUUCCGAGUGUAGAGGUGAAAUUCGUAGAUAUUCGGAAGAACACCAGUGGCGAAGGCGACUAACUGGACAAGUACUGACGCUGAGGUACGAAAGCGUGGGGAGCAAACAGGAUUAGAUACCCUGGUAGUCCACGCCGUAAACGAUGAUAACUAGUUGUUCGGUCACUUGGUGACUGAGUGACGCAGCUAACGCAUUAAGUUAUCCGCCUGGGGAGUACGGUCGCAAGAUUAAAACUUAAAUGAAUUGACGG
RNAcentral lists this ribosomal RNA (560 nucleotides) under uncultured bacterium. Its description in RNAcentral is "bacterial SSU rRNA". It matches the Rfam family "Bacterial small subunit ribosomal RNA", at positions 338 to 916 of the family's 1533-position model. The record is from RNAcentral.